Molecule: ribosomal RNA, 600 nt
Filed under: Triticum aestivum (bread wheat)
Lineage: Eukaryota; Viridiplantae; Streptophyta; Magnoliopsida; Poales; Poaceae
Description: partial small subunit ribosomal RNA
Source: RNAcentral
AUGAAUUGUUUGAGUUGGAACUAUCAGGGAGUUGGGAACAAACCGAUAGUUCGGGAUUUGGUGGCUUUGGUUAGAGCUACUGAAUCAAAGAUUGUGUUCCUUUGUGAAACUAGGCAAAGUUUAGAAAAAAUGCACCGUCUGCGUGGAAGAUUGGGUCUUAGAGGUUUUGCUGGUGUCGACAGUGUUGGUCUUAGUGGGGGUGUUGCUCUAUUUUGGUGUAAUCAGAUGCUUCAGGUGGAUGUCAAGGAUUCAAAUGAAAGAUACAUUGAUGCAUAUGUGCGUGUGGCUCCUAGUGCUCCAAUGUGGCGUUUGACUUGUGUUUAUGGAGAACCAUGUACGGAAAAUCGUCAUCGUAUGUGGUCAACUAUGCAAAGUCUGAAAGUGCAGUCUGACCUCCCCUGGUGUGUUAUAGGGGAUUUUAAUGAAGCCAUAUGGUCCUUUGAACACAUGUCAGCUACUCCAAGGAAUGAAAAUCAAAUGCAGGCAUUCAGGGACGUGUUGGAAACCUGUAAUCUCGUGGACUUGGGGUUUCAAGGUCCCCCAUUUACGUAUGAUAACAAACAGCGCCGAAACAGAAACGUAAAAGUUUGGUUGGAUUGA